AAAUUGGCACUGCAAGAAAUUUGUAUAUAUUAUAAAAAAAGAACACAUAAAAAUUAUAUAAAAAAAAGUACCUUAUACCUUUUUAAAAAUGUUGGCAAUCGUUUCAGGUUUAACCAUCCACCAAGCACGUUUAAUCAAUUGAAUCGCUGUCAAUAAGUAGAACGAUUUCUUAAAUUCUUCAAUCGUGUUUCCUUUUUCAAGAGCAAGAAGUUGCUUCCUUCAAUCAUUUGGCGAUAAUAUGCUUUAAAAGCAUGGAUAAUGCCUUUAUCAAGCGGUUGCAUAAUUGAUGUGGUGUUUGCCGGCAGAUAAAACAUUUCCCCAUUUUUUUAAAGAUACUGGCUUGUGAGGAGCGGCAUUAUCGAUGAAUAAAAAUACCUUCCUGUUUUGACUUUGCAUCUCCUCGUCAAAGAAAGUUAGAAUAGAGGUCCAUAUAUCUUGAGUCAUCCAUGCAAGGUCUUAUUUUUGAAACAUCGUAGAUUUUUUGGUUUUCCAAUCACGAAAUUUGUUUUUGUUUCGCCAGAUGCAUUGCAAAAAAAGCAGACCGUCAGCCGCUCCUUUGAUGACUUAAAUCCUUUUGAGUUAUCACCACUUCUGGUUAAAGUUGACCUAGGCAAUGCUUUAUAGAACAUGUCACUUUCAUUAGCGUUGAAUAUGUCCUUAGCGCUGUAAUUCUGGAUUAAAUUGGGUAGCAAUUCAAAAAAGUCACUGGCGCUUUUAAUAUUCGCAGAUGCACCCUCUCCAUGAAUUUGUUUCACGGUUUUGCCACCGGUACAGCCAACCAAGAGUGGGCAUCCAUCUUGACGGCCAAUUGUUGAGCUUUUUCCCGGACCAUAGUGCCUGAUAUUACUGCGCCAGAUGAACGCAUUUGAUUAAACCAAAUAGUUACAGCACGAUCAAUUUCUAUUGAGUUGCUAUAUCUGUUGCGCUUUCUGUUCAAAUUUUUCAAAGUACUUUGCGCAGAAAGUCUUUCUUUUUCACGGAUUAUACGAUUAAUUGUUGAUAUCGAACAUUUAUAUUUAACACAGAGUUCGCUUUUGCACGUAGAAAGAAUUUGCCUUUUUGUCGGUAAUUUAAUGUUGUACACUUAAGGCCUUACUAUAAUAUGCAUAAGCUGCCGUAUGUUACUGUCAAAAAAUGAACGAAAAGCCUGUCAAAUGCAUAACGAAUGGAGAGUAGACUUUUGAAUGACUAUAAUGUGCUUAAAUGCAUAAGAAGAAAGUGUCAAAAACAACUUGUGUUUUGGUUUUGUUUAGUUUGCAUUUUGCAAAAAUGAACAGAAUAUUAAAAUAUUUAAAAACAAUUAAAAUGCUUACUUCUGUUUUAGAAGGAAUACGCAUAUUGACAGAAAUUAGUGAAAUUAAAAAAUAGAGUUCGGUCAUGUUCAGUGAGGGAAAUAAACAGGAAGAGAAAGUAGGAUAGUUUUUUUGUACGAUUCCUAGAAAUGAAGAGGACUGAUCAUAUAGAUUUUUUUAUAUACACCCGAUUGAAAGAAAAGGCAUAUUGUUUGUCGUAAAAACAUUUCCUUUUUCAAUAUUUUCCAUUAAAUUUUGUAUAAAACAUUCGUCGUUCUCCAUCUUCAAAUUCAAAACGAUGUAUCUGUUGACAAAAAGAGAAAACAGCUGAUUCCGUACGGAACAUGCGAUCAGUUUCGCAUUUUGCUUAAGCAAAUGACGUUUGACAAAACUUAACGAAACUUGAUGUUAAGCACAUUAUAGUUGCAACAUACAAUUUGUGUGUAUUCGGACAGUUGCUUACGCUGGCUUAAGCUAGCUUAUUCACAUUAUAGUUAGGCCUUUACUCAUUUUGACAUUAAUAACGAUGUGCAAAGUAGAAACAUCGAUUAUUAUAUCGAUUACAUAAUAAUAAAAGUGCUGCCAUAUCAUAUUAGGAUUUUCAAAGCAGUAAAAAAUAUCUUUGUUUUUGUGACUGCGCUUAUAUAGGUAAUUUUUAUAGGGAAAUUUUAGGCUGAAAACAUAAUUUUCGGUGCUUAUAUCCGAGUUGUGCUUAUAAGCGGAAUGCAUAUAUCGAAAAUUUUUGUGUAUAUUUUAAAUGCGGAAAUUAUAUGUUUUUAUUUUUAGUGCUUAUAAAAGAGUUGUGUUUAUAAGCGAGGUGCAUAUAUCCGAUAAAUACUGUAAUAAUAAAUUGUAGAGGAAAGAAAAUAUAAUGUAUCCAAAUUAAGUGAACAUUUAUCUUAGUAAUCCCAAUGACCACCGUUAUUUUAUGUUGGUUUCAUAAACCGUUGCCGCAACGAAAGAUCAUACUUUUAUACAAUUAUUUAUGCUUUUAACCAAGUCUAUACAACAAUUUUGAGCUUAUGAGCGUUUUCCAGUUGAAGGAUUAAAUCCUCGACAAGCAGACGCCUGUCUUCACAUAUAACGAAGCUUUAAAUUAAAUAUAGCUUCGUUUGAGAAUUAACUUUGGGAUCAGGGAAAAUUGUGUAAAGCAUAUACAUACAUACAUAUAAAAUAAAUUAAAACAUGUAAUAUAAAAACAUAAAAAUAUUUCUAGUUCUAUAGUAGUACCGUAAAAGCGGUAUAAGCGGUUAAAAUAUUAGUUUGAUAUAAUAUAUUUAUGAAGUUUGGAUUUGUGACGUCAAACUUAUUUUUCGCCAUUUGAACGCACGUUUUUCUGACUCAUGUUAUUACUCCGGAAUUUGAAGAAAAAAAUAAAAUAAAUAAAGAAACAUGUUUCUGGAUCAUUUCAUUGGCUUUUAGGUUACUCAGGAUAUCCACUGGAGCCAUGGCUUCUAGACCAAACUCAUCUGUACCAAAUGAGGUUCUUAUAGCAAACUCCAUAUAACGCCAGGAACUUAAUUGAAAAAGCCUUGGGGUUUUAAAGUCUCGUUUACGGUACCUAUCUAAAGAGCGAGUUGUGGGGUACACACCAUCAAUUUGUUUUAUUCUUGUGCAAUUUUCCAUAAUAUUUUGCAAAAACAUGGCAUUUGUGACUUCAAUGAAGACGACAUUGAAAACUCAUCUUUCGAUGAUAACUCUACAGCUCAAACAAACCGCAGGAAUAAGUGGACGACGUAACUACCUAAAUUCUCUAACACACUAUUUACAAAUCUUUAAUUUAGUCUUCUAUUUUAAUCGAUUGUCCAGUGAGAUUUCAUGGCAUUUCAUCGUUUGACAGUGAAGUUAUUGCGUUUUAAGUGCCAGUGUGUUUGUGUUAUCGGUGUGAAAAUGAGCUUCGAACACAGAGCCAACAUUAAAUUUUGUUUUAAAAUUGGUAAAACUGUUCCGAAACGUUUCAAUUAAUGAAACAAGUUUAUGGCGAUGAUUGACUAUCCCGUAGCAGAGUGCACGAGUGGUUUCAACGUUUUGAAAAUGGUCGUGAGGACAUAAAUGACGAUCACCAUGAGGGCCAAUCAAAAUUCAUGAUCACCGAAAAUUCCAUCGAAACUGUGCGUGAAUUCAUCAAAAAUCAGCCGAAAUCAUCAUUGAAAUUCAUGAAAAUGGAAUUGAGUUGAACAUUUGGGCUUAUGAAAAGUGUGAGCACGGUUUGUUCUGCACAAAUUGAUUGCCGACCAAAAAUUGCUCAGAAUCCAACAUUCGAAGGACCGGUUGUGACCGAUUAUUUGACCAAAAAUCACAUUGGAACCAUUAACCACUCCCCGUAUUCACUUGAUAUGGUACCGUGCGCCUUCUUCCUUUUCGGAAAAAUGCAUUUGCCCAUGAAAGAAAAGCGGUAUGCAGACGCAGAGGUCAUCUAAGAAGCUUGCACCGGCAUACUGGCAUCCAUACCGGUCAACGAGCUAAAACACUCGUUGGGCAUGCUUUUGGAUCGUGCAAAAAGCUGUACUGAAACAGUAGGAGACAAUUUUGAAAAAAAAUUGCUUUUGCAGAAAAAAAAAAACAUUUUUUAUGUUUUUUAUGUUUUUUUUUUAAAUCCUGUUUACUCUGGAAUGCACCUUGUAUAUUUAAACAACUUAAGAUAAAAUUUUUUUGGCCAAAAACCAAUUGAUAAUUCGCUCGUUCCAAUGAUGUGGUUGGCCGUGGGGAAACGGUCGGCGCAAUUAUCCCACAGAAAUAUUAAAUAAAUAAAACAAAAUGUUUCAUAUAAUAUAUAUAAUUUAAUUAUAAAAAUGUGGAAACACACUUACCACGUCUGUAUAGCUGAGCUGUCGCUCACUUCACUUUUCUCCAAUUUUUUAGUGUCACUCACUGCACUUUGUAUUAAUUUUUGUAUUUUUUUUUUUUCACUCGCGAAACUGCAGCUGCGUUAUUGCUGCUUGCCUUUAUUGCUAUUCGAGCAAUAUAUGGGAAGGCAGAGUUGAGCGACUAGACUCAAAUUAAACCACAAGGAAAAACAAAAACCCGAGAGAGAUUGUUGACGCUCCAGACGAUUUUGUGCGUCCAAGAAAUUUAUAACUUUUUCUCGAAUAACAGAUUGUGGUUUUUUUUGUAAAGUGAAAUAGUGCAUUUGCCAGGUGUAUUUGCUGUUGUACUUAAAUGAAGUACAAUACUACCUGCAAUCUUGUGCUUUGAUUUUGUGGGUAGAGUGCCAAAAAUAAGUUUUGGUCUCCACUUCACACAGCACAAUGGGUUUUGUACAUAAAUGAUGCACAAAUUAACCAAUCUAUUGCCUUUAGCUUGCAGAGCACAAAUCCAAAAUAUGUUUGGCUGUAACUUGCGAGUUGCUAAAGCGGGCAAAUUAUGCACUUUCACUUUAAUAAAAAAUCGACUUGUUACCUGUUAUCCGGCUCGAAGGACCAAUGAUAAUUCGGGUGGUGGAGCACGGUGCUCGCUCGUUCCAAUGAUGUGGUUGGCCGUGGGGAAACAGUCGGCACAAUUAUUCCACAGAAAUAUUAAAUAAAUAAAACAAAAGGUUUCUUAUAAUAUAUAUAAUUUAAUUAUAAAAAUUUGGAACCACACUUACCACGUCUGUAUCGCUAGGAUGUCGCAAAAGGGGAGAGCGCGCAACUAUUUAGUUAGUGUUUAGUUGCGCGCGAAUUAAAACUUCGAAAAAGAGAAAAAGAAAAGAUUGAUCUGCCGAUACAGACGUGGCAAAAGAAAUUGGGCGGGGGCGGCGUCAACACCAAUGUUUUUUUAGAAUUUUUUAAAAAAUUUGUAAAAUUUUACACUUUUUUUUGAAUUUUUUUAGUUUAACUUGAACUAGUUAUAUGAAUAUCUUUGAAUUUUUUGUUUCCGAUAGAAAUUGUUACCUGCAUCCUGCCCUCCGUCCGACAAAUGCACAUGCGAGAUGCAUCGGGCAAUUGCUUCCAAAAGGCAGAAUAUCAAAGAUUUCGUAUCCAAACAAUUUGUGAAUGAUGUUUAAAUAUAUAACUAUAAAAACUAGAAUUUUCGCUUUAAUAAAUAUUGUUUUAAGCCGCAAAGCAGGCUCCCUCCUUAAGUGAAUAGUUAGAUAAGAUUGCGGUUGCGAGGGUCGUAUUUAUUUAAAUUGAAGUGAAGUGUGCAGUGGCAAGUUGAAAUAACUAUUUUGCAAAUAAACCAUUAGAAAUUAGUUUUUCACUUUUCCUUCGGAUUUGAAAGUUCCAAAAAAACGAUUAAUUUGUUGUAGGCGAUCAUAAUAAUUAUAAUUUCAGAAUCUUUUUUUCAUUAUAAUUUCACUUAAAUACAUCAGAACUACUAUGUAUAAAUACAUACUGUUCAAAUAUGUUCAAAUAUCAUUGAACAUGCUUACUUGUUUGGUGUCUACUACACAUAAACAUGUAUACAAAAUCAAACACAUACAGUCCACUAAACAUAAAUAUCUACCCUGCCAGCCACGGCUAACCACUUUUCUCAAAUAUUUCAAUACAAUUACACAUUUUUUCUCUAUGCACUAACAGCAUAUAUUGGAAUUGCUUAUCACUAUUUGUUUAUGCGUGGGUCAGCAUAAACAAGAGAUGUUUUGGUUAUUUCUGUUUAAUGAAAUGUUCCUUAACUCUCCCCUGUGUUAGAGCGCAAACAGCGAAUUCCACAAAACCGUGGCCCGAAUCAGCUGAUACGACCUAUCUUAUGGGAACGCAAAUUAAAUGAUCAGCCAACACCUCUUCUACCGCCCACUUCAAAGUAAGAUACCGUAUACUUCCACGGCAUUUGGAUUUUUCCCGUAGAAACGUGCCAGCUGAUUGUUCUCUCACAACGCAGGGUUACCGUCUCGCUAUACUGUAGUAAUUAUAAAAAUUGCGAAAUUGUUGAAAUUUUCUUAUACUAACUCAAAACCAGAGUCGAAUGCUUGUUUAGAAAUAUACAUAUAAACUAUUUUUAAUAGUUUGGUUUCAGUUUUCAUAUUUUAUAUUAUGAAAAAUUGUAACUGAAAACUUAGAUGUGUACAAAACUAUACGAGUACUAGAGGACCCGCCUACGUUUUACUGUGGCUGAUACAUAGGUAGUACUACUAAUACCAUCUAUAUGAUUUCUAUUAGUUAGAUUAUAAGUAUUAGUUAAGGAGUAAUCGCAUUUUUGAUGGAGCAACAAAAAUGAAUCAAAAAGCAUUUCGUGCGUUAAGAAAGAAUUGGUUUUUGGGGUAAAAAUACUAUUGAAUUUGGGCUAUGCAUCAGAGAAAUCAAUCGAGUCCAAUCGAUUGUCAGCCUGGUGGACUGCAUAUUAAGAAACGGUUCUCAAGCGUGGGAAGACAAAAAAUUCGGCUGCAAGGUUAUGGCAUCAGUCUUUUGGGAUGCCCGUGGUAUAUUAUUCAUCGACUGAUAAAUGAGCCAGUUUUAAUUCAUUGCAUUGUGUAUUUGAUUGCAGUUCUAUUCUACCAUUCCCAAUAUUUAGCAACUUUAUUAUUUUUCAGGAAGGAUCAGUUUGAAAUUGUACGCAUAUAUGUAUUCAUCGUUCCCGUUUAAAUAUUGUAUUGCUCUGUGCAAUGCUUCGAAAAGAUUUCUGUAUAUCUCAAAUUUUUUAUCAACACUUCAGUUAUGCCGCUAUUUUUUUAUGCCAGACCUUUUGCAAUUUUAAAUUGCCUGUCAAAUUGUAAAUCUAAACCAUUCUCGAAUCUCCUUGAACAUACACACAAAAUUUCAUUAAAAUCGGUCCAUCCGUUUAGGAGCAGUUCAAAUGCAAACACACGGUCAGAAGAUUUAUAUAUAUAAAGAUAUGCGUUUUGAGCAAUGACCACAUUGUACAAAUGAAAACAAACAAAGAUGUCUGAUUUCUACGGGCUCAACUUUUAACACAUUUUGCUUUCUACGGACGGCAACUUUGGAAGGGAGGAGCGUUUUUCGCUGUUCCUGCUAUUAAGUUGAAAUGUCCUUAUUUCAAGUCAUCUGGGCUUGGAGUCGACGAAGUUCGAUCUCGUAUGUUUGGCGGAAUAAUCUCUUUUAUCUUCUGGAUAUGCUCGAUAGCAUUUACAUAAAUUUACAGCAUAGAUUAAUAAAGCUAAAGGUAUUACAAUAAGUAUUAGGUACAGUAUGAACUUUCCUGAGUUACAAUUAAUUUUCUGACCGUGAUUGAAAUAUACAUUAUUAUCUAAAUUAGUACUGUGAUUAAAUUGUAAAAGGUUUGGACUGUUAACACGUUGUCCGUUCCACAAAUGUUCUCCAUUAAUAAUUAUAUUUCCGUGAUUUAAUACAAUAAGUGGUCUAUUAUUUUAUUGAAUAACAUACAUUUUGCCUUAUUAUUUUCGAACAAUGGGAUGGUACUGUUGUCGGGAGACUCCUCUUUACAAAUAUUUAAUCCCAGAUAAUUUUUACAUUUGGAAGUUCUUUUGAAAUUCGCUUCACAUUUUGCAACUUGAGAGUCUUUGCCGUGCUAAAGGUACUAAGGGGGUAUUCUACUCUAGAAAUCAAAUUUUAGGCAGUUUUUUGAAUUUUAUUUAAAAAAAAAAAACCAAAAAUAUUUUUACUAUCCAUUUUUUAUGGUGUUUUUAUUGAUAUCUUAAGAAUACAGAAAAAAAAUUUUACAAACAAAUACUAAAAAUUAAAAUAAUUAGAGGGGGGAGAGACAGGUGUAGAAAAAAUGGCGCAUCCUGGUGGCAUUGAUCAGGACUCUCCUGGUGGUCUGAAAAAAAAAAUCAAAAGAAAUUCUUAAUCAUGCUGUUAUAGUCCCUACCUCAGGGAACAUGAAAAAAUUUUUUUUUGAAAAUGGCGACUGCCGGAAAAUAAAAAUCAUUUUUACGCUUUUUUUUUGAAAUUCCUAAUUUUUUUUAAUAUUAAAAACAAAGUAUUAAGGAUUAUAUAAAGAUAAAGGAUUAUAUAAAGAAGGUUCACACAAAAUUUCAAGUAAAUCGGUUGUAUAGAACUUGAGAUAAUGCCGGUACCGUGUAGAAAAAAGUAGUUUCGAGAAAAACGCGUUUAAAAAAGUGAGUCUAUCUACCUACCGGGUUAGGUACUGCGUCACUAAAGUAACUGUAGCUCUUAAAAUAAUUUUAAUUUUUAAAAAUCCUUUGGAGUAAAUGGAGUUUAGGGUCUAAACUUUUAAUAUAUGAAAAAAAAAUCGAAUUUUUCAAAAUUCUAGAGUAGAAUACCCCUUUAAGUUAUAUAAUUUACAACGGUUACUUCUUACGAGAUAUUUGUAUAUUGUAAUUAUGGCAUCUUUGUACAUGCAUAUGUACAGAAUAUUACAAUAUUCUAAAAUAUUAAUUAUGGGUGUGUUAAACUCUUCUAUAGACAAAAUUUCUUGAAUGCUUUGAGGUUUAGAGUACCAGAAUAAAAGUUUCCUGUUUUAGCAAAAUUAAUGUUACUUGUGAUUGCUUCUAAUUCCUCGUAAACUUCUGUAAUAAUUAAUUCUUCAGUAAUUGACUUUGGAUCUAAUGUUUCUAGUAUUUUUUCAAAUUGACUGUUAAUCUUCCGUUGCUGAUUAUUAUUUUCUGUCAACCGAUUGAGUCCUGUUUUGAUCUCUAUAAGGUCGUCAGAGUCAGUAGUACCGGUGACAAACUUGAGAUUAGAACCUAAAAAGUUUAAUGAACGUUGGAGUCUACGAUUAGAAGGUAUAAGCUAUGUCUUAAGUGCGUUUAUUUUAUUAAUAAGAAUUAUUUCUUCUUUGUUUUCUUCAGCAACGUAUUUGAAUUUCAUGGACCUAGAAUAAUUGACAAGCUUACAGAUAAGUCGUAUUUUCAAAUAGGUAGACCGGAUCGGUCUCUGUUAAAACAUACUUCUUGAGUUUAAUAUCUGCGAUUAGAUCGGAAUGGGAUACAACAAAUAAUAAAAAUAGAUUAAUUAAUACCGUGCCGGAUCGCACUGUGUGGCUUGUUUGCGAAUGCUUCACGUAUUGGUGUGAAAAGUCCGCUUGCAUAGGUACAGGUUUUGAUUGCUGUUGGCCAUUUCGCUGGAUGUAGCUACCAGAAUUAUGUUUCCUUCUCUCUUCAUACGUUGGUUGCCGUUGAGGGUUUACGCGAUAUGCUGGAAUCAGUUGACGAUCAUUCCUUUGAUAUGGAAGGCGGUCUGACCUUCAUAUCUCGAAUUAUGUCGACGGGGAACAGUGCUCUCGGAGUGUUGAUCGUGAUUGUCAUGGUAGAUGGUGCGGAUGGCAUCAUCAUUCACGUCUGAUAAUCUUUUUUCCAUUGUUUCUAUUUUUUGUUGAAUCAUUGUUAAGGCUUUACUUCCUUGCUUUUUCUUCAUCAUUAUUUCUUUCAGGACAUGUAGUGGUCGUUUAACCGAAUAGGUAUAACCCAAGAGGUUGAUUAUAGCAUAGAAAUUAAGUUGAGUUCCGUUAACUGAUAUAACUUUAGAAGUGGCUCCUGUUAUUUUUGCUUUAAUUAUGCAUACACAAUUGUAAUACUCAGAGCUGUAUAUAAAUUCUUUUAUAUUCUCCAUCUGUGUCCACACCUGAAUGCGGCAAAGGUUAUAUUCGCCCUCUGCUCCGUCAAAUGUUGGUAGGCAUUUAAAAAUGUCUGUAUUUAUUUGGCUUGCCUGUGUGUUUUGUGGUUUUAGAGCAGCCAUGGUUGGUACCGUGGUCAUCGAAAACUGUGAUUGCGUCCUUAAUGCAUCGAAGUCGGUUUUUAACGAAUUGAGUUGAGCCGUAAGGACAUCAGUGCAUGCUUUGAAUGUUGCUGCUUCAGUUAUAUUAAUGUUUUUUGCUUCCAGUCGGAAUAUAUUUAAUUCUUUGUUUUCAUCAAAGGCUGAGUUAUUGCUGUUUGAUCGAGGUGUAAACAUUUAAUCUUUCGUUGUUGUUGUAUUCAGCGCUGUCCGCUUUUGCAGAAUCUGCUUUGAAUCGUUUGCUACUUUUUCACGCACUUUGUAGUGGAAGUCCUACUUCCCUUGGUAUUUUAAUGUUAUCCUUCUUUAGGAUCGCGGAGUUCCUGUCUUUUCAAGGAUGUCUCCUGGCUUUUUUGAUAGCCAAAAUGAUUUGAUAGUAAAAAUUUGCUACCCCGUUUGAGCCCCCAGUUAAUUACAAUUGAAUCAAGUUAUUGUAUCUUUUGCACCGUCAGGGCAAGUUCUCUUAUUAAUACAAAAACUAAGACUAGCUACAUUUUGAUAAUGAUACUGCUAUUUAUACUACUUUAUGGUACUAGUUUUUAUUUGCUAUCUGCUAUGCUAUUUGAAGAUAGACACACUAUCUGCGGUCGAUUAUUUGUCGUUACAAACAGCCCCGAGAGGAUGGCAUGUAAGAGAUAACACUCGUUAUGUGUGAUACCAUUUCUAUUUCACACCAUGUGUGCAACAUAAAUGGGAAUUGCUUAUCACUAUUUGUUUAUGAGUGGCUCUGCAUAAACAAGAGAUGUUUUUGUUAUUUCGUUUAAUGAAACAUUCCUUAACUCGCUCGUAAAACACGAAGGUAGGUUAGGUUAGGUUAGGUAAGAUGGCUGAUCAGAGAUCACACGUAGACUAAUAAUGUAGUUCUUUGUGAUGCCAUUGAAAAAGAACUCCCGUGUUCGGACUUACACAUUGGCGAAGCGCUUUGUAGCCAAUACAUAGUUACACAGACGCUUAACUUCAACACCCACCAGUACGGUGGGAUGGCCAAAGUCUUGACCUCCCAAACGCGGGACAGUCAAGCAGGAAGUGCUGGCGUGUUUCUACCGCAUCUUCUUCCAAAAAACUUCUACAGUCGGCAUCCGGUAAGAUACCCAUUCUUACCGCAUGUAAGCCAAUAGGACAGUGGACUGUUAAGAGUCCCACUAAUAAUGAGAGGUUAGCCUUGCUGAGGGCUAAAAGAUCAUUAGAUCUUCUGCGGUCUAUCCGGGGCCGGAAAGCUUUUGCAACCACACAAGUACCGAUGCUGGCACAGCGUUGGACGAGCAUCCGCGUGGCCCAGCUAUCUAGUAGUAGAAUUAGUUGUGCUAACUCAUCAGCUUUGCAAUUACCUGCAAUUCCGCUGUGGCCCGGCACCCAUAUCAGUCUAACCACAAAAACUCUAGCUGCUAGAGAUAGCGACGUUAGACAUUCUUCGACCAGCCCUGAAUGCACUGUGAAUGAGUUCAUGGCUAGUAUUGCCGCUCUACUAUCUGAGUGAAUGGUCACUUCUCUGAAGGUGGAUGCACUCCGUAGUAGCAAAUCUGCUGCUACCUUGAUGGGCGCGACCUCAGCCUGGAAUGCACUACAGUAGUCGGGAAGUCUGAAACAGGAGUUGACUGAGAGUUCCCGACAGUAGACCCUUCCCCCAACCUUCCCCCCAAGCUUUGACCCGUCCAUGAACAAUCUUGCUGCCCCUCUCCUCCAACGGCUUCUUCCCACCCAUGUCCGCCUCGUCGGUAAUAUGGGCAGAGAAGGAGCCGCCAAAGUUCGGUAUAGCGACUCCAUGAUCCAGAUGAUCCGGUAUGCAGUCAAAGUUUUGUGAGGAUAUCCGAAUGUCCAGAUACGCUCAUUCGUUAGUUGACUGUCGACGCGGAUAGACAUGCGUGCGCAUCGUUAUGAUUUAUUAGUGUAUUUUUCGGUGAUUUUCUGCGAUUCCCUUUUGUGCGUGUAUUUGUUUACGCGUUUUAGUUGGCACCGUUACUGCCUGGCGCGUGUGCAUAGCGGUCGUUGAAAUUGUUUGUGCGAUUGUAGGUACGAGGGUUAGUGACCGCGAGCGUUUUUGUGCGGGUACACAUUUUUGUGCUUUUUUGGUGCAUUUUUGUGUACAAAAUCGUCGCGAUUACUUACCGUAAUAUUUAAUUAUUACUAUAUUAUAUACGGACAACGUGGUCAUCCACUUUGUUAUUGGCGGAAGCUUCGCACGGUUCCAGUGUAGCUCCGUGUUGUUGGCAUUCUUGCUGACUGGACUGCCUGCCAGUAGUACUGUGCUGAGCAUCUAGCGUUUGGUCGGCUCACUGUCAGAGGUGCCUGGACAGGAUUGCCCAAAGCAAGCGUCUGUCCAGCGUUGGAAUUUGCGACUCCUGUGUGGACCAACCGAUUCGGUUCAGCGCCACAUCGGUCGACUCCGGACCGUUACGGGGAUAUUGUCCGUCCGACGGCCAAUCUAUUGGCCUUCAUCCGACCACUGGUUGGGGUUGUGGGCUGUUCCACUGCGAGCACGCGAUAAUCAACCGCUUGGGUGGUCGCUGUUAUUGACCGGGCCUUUACGUGAGUCGCAGUUUUCAGCGCGUUCGGAUGCAGGUACCUGGAGAGCAUUUGCUCCAGAAUCUUUCUAUCCGUGAGCCAUCUGCGCUGGUGGUACGCCAGCGGAUCAGUUCGACUGAGAGGUUAGUUGGGAAGCGAGAUGCCUCCAGGACGGAAGAGGAGGACGAAGGCCCUCGCUGGAAGCGGAGAAUCCGCCGCUUCAACAGUCGUGGAUGAUUCCACGUCGGGUGGUGAGAGUGAAGUGACGGGAACGACGGAAGUAAGGUCUCCACCGCGGAGCAAGGCGCGUUUGGGGUCGCCGCGUAAAGAGGGCGGAAGCGAAUGAAGGAGCGGGAGUGCCAGCGUGGCCACCACUGGGAAAACGGUUGCCCAACCAUCAAAGACGGUUGGCAAAGAAACGUGUGCCGGGCGUGCCAAAGAGGCCGGAAAUAAGCGGGAUUAUUCGCGGGGAGCAGUUGUUGCUGGAGUGGGGCAGUCAGCCAUGUUGCGGCAGCCAAAAGAAUAACUGGGGAGAUCAACGAGCUGGUCUUUGAGGCCAAGAGCUUUGAUAGGGGGACUACGAAGGGGCUGGUGGAGCUUGCCUCAAAAUAUGAGGCGCUCUUGAUGACGGUUAUUACCGAGAAUGCCCAUCUUCGCGGUCAGGUAGAUGCCCUUAGGGGAAGUUGCGGGGGACCCUAUUCGACGCCGAGCAGGUCAAUGCCGGCUCCGUCGGCACCGAUGCCUGCGCGACCAGAACCUGUACGGGAAACAAUCGCACCGGUGACGGCGAAGCCUGUGGAGACCUGGUCGGUCGUGGUCAGGAGUAAGGGGCCUGCAACAUCCUCUAAAGCACCCCAUUGCCACAACUGUGAGUUUAAGGGUAGGCCAGUUAGGCAUCUAAUGAUGUCAGCUGUCUGCCCUAUAUAUUGUGGCAUUGUUGAGCGCGCCCUCGCCAGACACUGAUGGGUGGGAUCGUCCAGCUUAACUGUCAGGGCUCCUAUGCCGUGAUGUGUGAGUUGGGGGGUUGUAUGGUUGAGGGUGGGUGCGGUAUUGCUCUACUCCAAGAGCCCUAUGCCACCAAUGGUGUGGUUCGGGGUCUUCCUGGGGGUUUUAGGGUCUUCACUGACCUUAGAGCUAACGCCGCAAUACGGGCUGGAUGCGAAUGCCUCGUCCUCGAUGUGGUUUAGUAAGGUAUCCCGGCAUUCGUCUGGAUACCAAAGCCACAGUCGGUGACACUCUGUUAUCGUCGUGGAGAGAGCAUGCGGGGGUUCUGUUAGGUGCGUUCUUUCCUAGGUCGGAGGUGCAGGUACCUCAAGCACAAGAGGUGCCUGUCCCUCCAUUAGAUGAUGGGGAGUUGGGGUACGCCUUUGGCCUGGUUAGGUCUAAACGGUCCCUAGGUUUUGAUGGUUUGAACGGAGAGAUGUGUAAAAGUUUAUGGAAGUUCAUCCCGGAAUACCUGGAGGCCAUUUAUAAUAAGUGCGUCUGGGAGGGAUACUUUCCACGCGAGUUUUAGUUGUUCGAGCGGAGGAAUAAAAAUGCCGUCGAUGUUACUUCUGUGACAUUAUACUUUAUUCUCCUCCUUUUUCAAAUUAUGUUCUGCUUAUUUAACUACUAAAGUGAUUACAAUUUUCUUAAUCUAUUUCUUUGUUUUUUUUUUAUUUUCUUAUGAAAUACAAUAUUUGUUAAAUAUAAUAUUACUUUCUAGUGAAUGCAAACAACCAUGAUUGUGUGGUUUACCCGAUAGUGUCUGGGUUAUCAUUACAGUCAAACAUAAGGACCAAAACAUGUUUGUACGCAUUUGCAUUAUGUUCUUUAUCUCUACUUGUUAUCUUAUUUUUUUGUAAUGUUUACUUGUUUUUCUUUAAUCUUUUAUUUUGUCCCAUUUACAAUAUUUUGUUGUGUGGUGGCUGGUUGAGAUGAUAGUGUACACAUAACUCGCGAGUGGAAAAGUGCUAGGGUUGUUCCUCUCCUGAAGUCCCCCGAUACGAGUAAGAUCAGGAUGUCGUUAGGGAGAAUGUUAACAAGUAUGUCCUUGGCAUAUUUGUUGACUUCAAGGGGGCGUUUGACUACCUAAGCUGGGAUCGAGUGGUGCAACGGCUAGAGGAGCUUGGCUGUUCGGAAGUUACUCUUUGGCGGAGUUAUUUUUCGGACGGAAAGGCCUCUCUUGUCUGCAUGAAUGGGACUGUGAAGAUUGGAACCUUAUGAUGGAUACUCUGCUUGGGCAGCUCGAGCCACUAUGUAAAUGUUGUGCGUAUGCGGACGACCUUCUUCUUAUGGUUGAAGGUCGCUCGAGGUCCGAAUUAGAACAGGCGGGAGGCGAUCUCUUCUUCUUAGUUCGCGUAGACACCGCUUACGCGAUUAUAACCGAGUUAAAAACCGCGCGCCAGUCGUUUCUUCUUUUCGCAACGUGGUGCCAAUUGGAUAUUCCAAGCGAAGCCAGGUCCUUCUCCACUUGGUCAUUCCAAUGGAGUGGAGGUCUUCCUCUGCUUCGACCGGUGGGUACUGCGUCGAAUAUUUUCAGAGCGGACAACAUGACAUAGUCAGCGUAGCCGCUGUCUUUUAAUUUGCUGAACUAUGUCAAUGUCGUCGUAUAUCUCGUACAGUUCAUCGUUCCAUCGAAUGCGAUAUUCGCCGUGGCCAACGCGCAAAGGACCAUAAAUCUUUCGCAGAACUUUUCUCUCGAAAACUCGCAACGUCGACUCAUCCGUUGUUGACAUCGUCCAAGCCUCUGCACCAUAUAGCAGGACGGGAAUUAUGAGUGACUUGUUUGGUUUUUGUUUGUCGAGGGAGACUUUGCUUCUCAAUUGCCUACUCAGUCCGAAGUAGCACCUGCUGGCAAGAGUUAUCCUGCUUUGGAUUUCUAGGCUGACAUUGUUGGUGUUGUUUACGCUGGUUUCAAGAUAGACGAAAUUAUCUACAACUUCAAAGUUAUGACCGUCAAGAGUGACGUGAGUGCCAAGUCGCGAGUGCGACGACUGUUUGUUUGAUGAUAGGAGAUAUUUCGUCUUGCCCUCGUUCAGUGCCAGACCCAUUUAUUUUGCUUCCUUGUCCUUGAGGGCGAUGAUAUCAAUAUCAUCGGCAUACGCCAGCAGUUGUACACUCUUACAGAAGAUGGUACCUUCUCUGUUGAGUUCUGCAGCUAGAACUAUCUUCUGCAGAAGCAGGUUGAAAAAGUCGCACGAUAUGGAAUCGCCUUGUUUAAAACCUCGUUUGGUAUCGAACGGCUCGGAGAGUUCCUCCCCGAUUCUGACGGAGCUUUUCGUGUUGCUCAACGUCAGCUUACACAACCGUAUUAGUUUUGCGGGGAUAUCAAAUUCAGACAUCGCGGCAUAAAGGCAGCUCCUUUUCGUGCUGUCGAAAGCAGCUUCGAAAUCGACGAAGAGGUGGUGUGUGUCGAUUCUCCUUUCACGGGUCCUUUUCAAGAUUUGGCGCAUGGUGAAUAUCUGGUCGGUUGUUGAUUUGCCAGGUCUAAGGCCACACUGAUAAGGUCCAAUCAGUUUGUUGACGGUGGGCUUUAAUCUUUCACACAAUACGCUCGAUAGAACUUUAUAUGCGAUGUUGAGGAGGCUAAUCUCACGGUAGUUGGCGCAGAGUGUGGGGUCUCCUUUUUUAUGGAUUGGGCAGAGCACACUUACAUUCCAAUCGUUGGGCAUGCUUUCGUCCGACCAUUUUUUACAAAGAAGCUGAUGCAUGCUCCUUAUCAGUUCUUCGCCGCCGUGUUUGAAUAGCUCGGCCGGCAAUCCGUCGGCCUCUGCCGCUUUGUUGUUCUUCAGGCGGACAAUUGCUAUUCGAACUUCUUCAUGGCUGGAGAAGUGUUCCCUCCAUAAUCUAAGUAUGCUCUGGGCAUCGGUGGCUAGAUCACCUUUGGGGUUCUACAAGAGUAUGCUCCGGUCUUGAAACUUUCCGUAAGCCGCCGCAUUUUUUCGUAGAAUUUUCGAGCAUUACCCCUGUCGGCCAGCUUAUCAAGCUCUUCGUACUCACGCAUUUCAGCCUCUUUCUUCUUCUGACUGCAAAUGCGUCUCGCUUCCCUCUUCAACCCUCGGUAUCUAUCCUCGGUUGAAGAAGGAAGCGAGACGUAUUUGCAGAAAGAAAAGAAAGAGGCCGAAAUGCGUGAGUAUGAAGAGUCUGAUCAGCUGGCCGACAGGGGUACUGCUCGAAAAUUCUACGAAAAAAUGCGGCGGCUUACAGAAGGUUUCAAGACCGGAGCAUACUCCUGUAGAACCCCCAAAGGUGAUCUAGCCACCGAUGCCCAGAGCAUACUUAGAUUAUGGAGGGAACACUUAUCCAGCCUGCUGAAUGGCAGUGAGCACAUAACACCGGGAGAAGACGAACCCGAUUCCCCAAUCGAUGACGAUGGAGCAGACGUUCCAUUACCCGGCCAUGAAGAAGUUCGAAUAGCAGUUGCCCGCCUGAAGAACAACAAAGCGGCAGGGGCCGACGGAUUGCCGGCCGAACUAUUCAAACACGGCGGCGAAAAACUGAUAAGGAGCAUGCAUCAGCUUCUUUGUAAAAUAUGGUCGGACGAAAGCAUGCCCAACGAUUGGAACUUAAGUGUGCUAUGCCCAAUCCAUAAAAAAGGAGACCCCACAAUCUGCGCCAACUACUGUGGGAUAAGCCUCCUCAACAUCGCGUACAAGGUUCUAUCGAGCGUAUUGUGUGAAAGAUUAAAGCCCACCGUCAACAAACUGAUUGGACCUUAUCAGUGUGGCUUCAGACCUGGUAAAUCAACAACCGACCAGAUAUUCACCAUGCACCAAAUCUUGGAAAAAACCCGUGAAAGGAGAAUCGACACUCACCACCUAUUCGUCGAUUUCAAAGCUGCUUUCGGCAGCACGAAAAGGAGCUGCCUUUAUGCCGCGAUGUCUGAAUUUGGUAUCCCCGCAAAACUAAUACGGCUGUGUAAACUGACGUCGAGCAACACGAAAAGCUCCGUCAGGAUCGGGAAGGACCUCUCCGAGCCGUUCGAUACCAAACGAGGUUUCAGACAAGGCGACUCCCUAUCGUGCGACUUUUUCAAUCUGCUGCUGGAGAAAAUUAUUUGAGCUGCAGAACUGAAUCGAGCAGGUACAAUCUUUUAUAAGAGUGUACAGCUGCUGGCGUAUGCCGAUGAUAUUGAUAUCAUCGGUCUCAACACCCGCGCCGUUAGUUCUGCUUUCUCCAGACUGAACAAGGAAGCAACGCAAAUGGGUCUGGCACUGAACGAGGGCAAGACGAAAUAUCUCCUGUCAUCAAACAAACAGUUGUCGCACUCGCGACUUGGCUCUCACGUCACUGUUGACAGUCAUAACUUUGAAGUUGUAGAUAAUUUCGUCUAUCUUGGAACCAGCGUAAACACCACCAACAAUGUCAACUUAGAAAUCCAACGCAGGAUUACUCUUGCCAACAGGUGCUACUUCGGACUGAGUAGGCAAUUGAAAAGUAAAGUCCUCUCUCGACGAACAAAAACCCAACUCUGUAAGUCGCUCAAAAUUCCCGUCCUGCUAUAUGGUGCAGAGGCUUGGACGAUGACAACAACCGAUGAGUCGACGCUGCGAGUUUUCGAGAGAAAAGUUCUGCGAAAGAUUUAUGGUCCUUUGCGCGUUGGCCACGGCGAAUAUCGCAUUCGAUGGAACGAUGAACUGUACGAUAUAUACGACGACAUUGACAUAGUUCAGCGAAUUAAAAGACAGCGGCUAUGCUGGCUAGAUCAUGUUGUCCGGAUGGAUGAAAACACUCCAGCUCUGAAAGUAUUCGACGCAGUACCCGCCGCGGGAAGCAGAGGAAGGGGAAGACCUCCACUCUGGUGGAAGGACCAAGUGGAGAAGGACCUGGCCUCGCUUGGAAUAUCCAAUUGGCGCCACGUAGCGAAGAGAAGAAACGACUGGCGCGCUGUUGUUGGCUCGGUUAUAAUCGCGUUAGCGGUGUCUACGCCAGUAAAGAGGAAGAAGAAUAUUUGAAUACUUAUAUUUGCGGUGUUAUCACUUUUUCCUUCUCAUACAAAUUUCAGAAAUAUAUUCAAUUUUUAAGUUUUUGCCUGUGUCGCGAAAAAUCGCUUGUAGGCAAAGGCAUGCCUGGGAGAGGUGUAUGGAAUUGGUUUAAUGAAUGAAUCGAAUUUGCUUCUUGAAAGUGCGUUUGCGUUCAUGAAUGAAAAUUUUGUUGUUGUGUAAUUUACUAUACAUUUUGAUGUCGGAAAUUUGGCUGCCAUAUUGAUUUCUGAUGCUAUUUGAGACGAUUGUUGUUUUUGUAGAACAAUAUUUGUAAUUUUUUCGGGUGGCAUAUCUAUGUACAUGUGGACGCAUAUAAUUAUGUACAUAUAUUGUGUAUGCAUUAUUUGUGUAGCAAUGUCAUACGCACAUACAGUAUGUGUGUAAAUUAUGUUGUUCCUCUGACGAUUAUGUUAUUGGCCUUUCAGAGUCAAAUAAGAAGACAAUGUUGUAACGGCGAGGCCGGAGCAAGUACGUUUAGUAUAGAUCAAAUACAAACUGGACUUAAUAUUGCUCUCCAAAAAUAUUAUUGAACCUAAAAUCAUAAGUGUGCGUUAGUAUAUCCGGCAAGCUGAAUCAGAAUACGCCAACACAGUCGCUUGCGACAUAGGCGAGUGUCGGGUUACCGCUGCUGACCACAGUGGCUGCGCAAGGAACUUAUGUGUCAGCAGAAUGUUGCCAUGUAAACCAAGUGCAUUGCAUCACUCUUGCAUUUCACAAACAAAAUGUGCAAUUCUUACGUUUUAACUACUCCCCUCUCAAGCUCAUGACCGUCCCCGGUUGUUUUGUAGCUGUUGAUGGCCUUCAGUACUUUCUUCGACGGUUGUCUUCCUUUUAUGAUUUGCCAAGCGAUGAUAAAGCCUAUGCCAACAACACAGAGUGAUGCCUGCUGCAAAUCAAAUCUUAUGUGAUCUGUCCUCCAAUUCGUCUUUGAAAUUUUGAAUGACGUCCAAAUUAUAGUUAUUCAUCCUCUGGAGUUUGGGCAUGCUUAGCACUGGAUCGUGUCUGAUGAUGUUGGGUAGAGGUGACUCUGCUACGCCUGGCGAUCUGUUUAAAACUUUGAGUCGAUUUACAUAUCUUGUGCCGUUGAUUGUGGCAGAGAGAGAGAAAAGUGACGAGAUGUGUCCCGUUUGUAGUAAUCUCCGGACCAUCGUAUGUGCUAACUUUCGCAGUGCUUGCUUUGAUAAUAAUAAUGCCGUCAUCGACUUGUAUUAUGGAUUUUAGGUGGCUUAUCUGAGAGCGGCAAAGGGCUGUGUCUCCGGCAUGUAAUGCUCGUGCGCAGGUGUCUUGCGCUGCUAGUUUACAGACGGCGGCAUAGAUGGUCAUUACGCAUUCAUUUACCGCUAGUACGUGAUCGUUGCAUUCAGCUUGCAGCUCUAGUGUGACGUGUUGGUGUGCCACCGGGAAGAUGGUGAUUUUCUUUCAGAUAACCUUGACCCUAGGAUACUCUAUUAAUAUAUGGGCAAUAGUCUCGGACUGGAUGACCUUAACUUUAAAUGCUUCGGUUAGGCAAACUAUGGGAAUUCCGACAGGAUGUUCAUUCAUAAUUGAUUUCGAAUCAUCAUGGUCAAAAAUAGUGGGAUUUAUUAUAUCCGCCUAAGCUAGCGUAAUUGUGAGUAUCAAGUUCGAUAUUUGAUCUAUUAAUAUUAUAUUUCUUGCUAGAAGUGUUUCAUACAAAUGUAGUGUGUCAAUCAAUUCAUAUUUUUUAGCUUUAAUUAUUUCAUUCACCGUAUCAGUAAGUUUAUUAAUUUAUAUCUGUGUUUGUGUAUUAAUAACUACCUGCCUAUUGCUUGCAUCAAUUAAAUUGGAUUCGGCCCAAACUUCUGUGCAAAGGGGUGUCAACUUAUUUCCUCAUCUUCUGUUAUGUGUUACAAAAACGUGUUCGCCUACCUCAAAUACCCCGUUUUGUCUAUUAGGGUUGGAUCUUUCGUUAUCGUGCUGGGCUUUUGCAAAUUUAUGUUUGCUGGCCUGCAUAUGUUCGCUGGACGCUGAUUUUUUUAGCACCAAAUCAUGUUGUAUACUGCUCCCUAGAAGUAAUUUUGCAAUUUACCUAGAGCCCCAACAAUAGCUAACAGUUCUCGCUCAUUCGUGGCGUAGUGUGUCUCGCUUUUCUUUAGCGGGCGUUAAACCAUGGAAAUGGGUCUACCCCUUUGGGACAGGAUUGCAUCAAUGCCAUCUAUGGAGGCGUCAGUAGUUAGAUCAAAGGGCUGCCUGAAAACUGGAUACAUGAGUAUGACAUCUUCUGAUGCCAGGAUAUUCCCCAGUCUUUCGAAUGCAUUACCUUGAGUUUCGUCAAACUCGCUCGAGUCCUUUUUGGACAUAUGCUUGCUCACCGAACCAUUUUCUCCUUUGAGAAUGUUGGUUAAGGGUCUUGCUAUUGCUGAGAAGUCCUUAAUAAAACCCCUACAGUAACUAGCUAAAGCAAAAAAAAAAAAACGACCGUAGGCUGAAUCGAUUUUUCGGACGUUCUGGGUCACUAGAAAGCCCAAGAAUUCGACGCUCUUUUUAAAGAACUUAGUUUUUUCUUGCGCUGCUCUCAUGUUUGCAUCAGCCAAGCAUUUUAAGAGCGUAUCAAUAUGUUGCGCCUGGUCAGUUUCGUUUUCUGAAAAGUUUGUUACGUCAUCUACAUAAACAUAACAUAUCUUUAUGUGCUUCUUCAGGAUGUCAUCGAUGGCUAUUUGAAAAAUGCUUCCGGUGAAAUAUCUUCCUAGGUUCGCUAGGAUCAUUGGGAUACUUGGCAUUGGGUAGCGGUCGGCUAUAGUUUGUUCAUUUAGCUUCCUAUAGUCGAUUACCAACCGUUUAUUUCGGUUUCCAUUGCUGUCAAGGCCUUUUUGGUCAACAACCCAGACUGGGCUGCUGUAUGGGGACUUUAAUGGUCUAACGAUACCAUCUUUAAGUAACUGUUUGAUUUCGUUGAUUACAAAAUCUGAAACUCCCAUAGGGUAAGGGUAUAGUUUCGACUAUACACUUUUAUUCUUUUCAGUAUCAUGCUUUUGAAUUCCUUUUUGAUGGAUGUAGGCACUAUUAUGCCAUCCACAUCUGUGAAGUUUAUUCUGUCACAGUAAUGAUACUACAAUUUCUCGGAUUGGUUAUUGUUGAUAUGUAAGUUCAACGCUAUUUCUGCUUGCGUUAACAAGUCGAAUCCUAUAAAUGCAUCAAAUGAGCUAAGUGUGUCUAGCACGAAGAAUGGGGAGAUUUGGCCAAAACUUUUCAUAAGGCACUUACUAGUUACUUUGCUCGAACCAUGUAUCGAGCUUUCGGUGAAAGGGCUUUCGACAGGAAUUACUUCUUGUAGCUCUUUUAUGGACUUAAUAUAAUUUUUUGCCGCCCCUGUGUCAAUUAAUAUUUUUAUAUUUUUCCCACCGAGCUGUCGCUUGAUAUAUGGCAGCUGGGAGCGUUCUCUAAAAAAUGCAAUGAGUCAUUGUCGCAUGAUUCGCUAUCGUCUUCGAUUUCGAUUACAGCGGCUUCCGCGGGCUUUUGAUAAUAUUCCGAUUUCGGAGCGCUCUGAACAAUAUUGUUCAAUCGCUGCCGCAUUGGUCCUGUUGCCCUAUCUGACUUAUUGUACAAUUUUUGGACCUGUUCGCCACUAGUUUGGUGCUUUGGAGGAGUGGUAGCCUGCCUAAACUGGUCUUCUUUUUUGUUCCUAUCUUGAUGGCUGUUGUUACCCUGCUGCCUUUUAACAAAAUGGGGGUUCCUCUUACCACCACGUCCAUCUUUAUAGUUUCUGCCUUGUCUCGCGAGCGGUCGAUUUCUAUUAUUUUAGCGCUAUUGCAGACGCUAAAUCUUUUGGCUGUGCCGGAAAAACAAUAGCCUUAAGGUACUUUUUCAAUUCAGAAAUGAAGGCGUGGAGUGCAUCUGCCCUGACCUCAUCGUUAAGCUUUGUAGUCUGCUCUGCCUCGUGUGAUUAAAAUCUUGUUUGUAACUAGGGUCAACUUCCUUUUGACCUCAUCAUAAUAUUCCAUGACGUUAAAUUCCCCUUGCCUCAAUAGUCGUAGCGAAGUUUUAUCUGCGUAUGAGCAAUCUAGCCGAGUUAUGAUUGCAUCGAAAUUAAGUACUGUGUUGUGAGACACUAGAACUGGUCUAGCUGCACCCCUUACUUUAUUUCUGAUGAUUGUUACCGCUUGGUAAUGCGUGCAGCUUCCGUUAAAUGGUUUAAAAAGCUCGUACGCGUCUACGUCCAUGCUACGUACUCUUUACACCCCCGCUAAACUCGGGAAUUUACUUAAUUAUAUCGAGAGGAAUAUCGCACCUGAUUUCUGGAUUUACUUAAAUUCUUUUCUUCCACCUGUGCCGCUUGAACACACAAAUUGUUAACUUUUGUGCUCUUUUCAAUAAGCUGUGCCUGAAAUCUUUGUUCUUGCUGCGCCAAUGAACAACAGCUGACAGCGAUCUGCACUAGCUGAUUAAUAUUCAUGUCGCUUUGUGUGUGGCUAUCGCUAACUUCUACGUUCACUUAAUAGUUGCUUUCUCUGUGUCCCGCUCUGUUUCACUGUCUAAUAUUUUCAGUUGCUUCUAACAGGCUCAUAUGCGCUAUUAUAUUUCACCGAAAUUUUAUAUUGUCGCGAAAUAUAUAUGAACCGCUUAAGUAAGAAGAACUUAUGUAAAUAUUUUAUGUUAUAUUUUUUAUAUACUUUUUUUAGAAUAACUUGUGGUAAACAUAUCACACAGCGGUUUAGUUACAAUUUUAGUAUGAUUUAAAAAAAAAAUUGUAAUGAACUUACAUAUAACGAGACAUUCCUAAUUCUUGUUUGUUGGGCGGCAAUUGUGUUGUUCCUCUGACGAUCAAGUUAUUGUCCUUUCACGGUCAAUAAGAAUGCAAUUUUGUAACGGAAUUAUGUUAUGUUACGAUUAUGUUACUGUCAGAGUCAAAUAAGAAAGCAAUGUUGUAUCGGCAAGUCCGGAGCAAGUACGUUAUUUAUAGAUCAAAUACAAUACUUAAUAUUGAACUCUAAAAAUAUUAUUGAACUUAAAAUCAUAAGUGUGCGUUACUAUAUCCGGCAAACUUAAUCAGCAUACGCCAACACAGUCGCUUGCGACAUAGGCAAGUGUCGGGUUACCGCUGCUGGCCGAAGUGGCUGGGCAACGAACUUAUGCGUCAGCAGAAUGUUGCAAUGUAAACAAAGUGGAGAAUGCUCAAUGCUCAGUUCUUUUCACUCAUUUCUGUUAAAAUUUCUCCUUCCGAGACGAUAGUGGUAAAAUCCACUAAUAUAAAAUUCAUAGCUCCUAACAGUUCACACGCUUGUCCGCAAUUGAACCUUCUCUAUAAUAGACGUUCUCUGACUAGUGUUUCACUAGUUUUUUUACGACUUUCGGCUGGCAGAGUAUGUUCAAAUAUAUUGAUCUAUAUCUAUACAUGCAUAUGUACAUAAACAGUCAUUUGCAUUCACAUGCAAUGCACUUACAAUGAUAUUAUAAAAAAUGCAUAUAUGAAUUGUAAGCUAAAUGGGUAAACACAAGGAAAAUAUCAAAAUAAAAUCAAUGAAUAAAUUCUCACUCAAUGAAACUUUUUCGUUGCCUCCAAGGGUAAAGGUUGUUAGAAACUACAUCGAGUAAUAACAUAUAUGUAUAUUUAUUUAUUGAAACUUGUUUAUAUAUGUAUAUGCCUGUGAAAUAAAAUAAAUUACUGGUGGAUACACUGCAAUAACAAUCACUCCAUUACUUGGUAAUCAUGUUUUCAAUAGAUAAAAGUAUUUAUUAAAAUCUAACCAAAAUAUUAUUAAUUUCACUAAAACUUUUUCGCUAUAAACUAAUACAUUAAGUCUAAAGCACGAAUUAGCAAAGUGUUUGUUAUUUGGUUUACAAUUCAUAUGCUUCAUUCUUAGUCGUUAUGUUUUAAGUUUUCAUUGUAGUACACAUUGCCCUACGGAAACCAUUGCUGUUGCUUGACAUUAUGGGAGGGUUGGUAGAAAAAUGGGGGGAAUCGAUCUGUUGUGACGCUCACAAAAUGCCGCAAAGUUUUUCUGGCACCACUUCAUCCAGUUAGAAAAUGGUUGAAAAUCCUACAAGCUUCUAAGGUUUUUCUUUUUCGUGACAUCGUUCAUCUUUAGGUGAAAUCUUAUAUCUCAGGGGUUUUUGACAAUUUUAUGACAUAAUUGGCGCAAAACAUUAAACUCACAACAUUACGUCGGAUUCUGAAAAUCUACACCAUUUGCCACAUUUUUAAAUUUCAUCUGAUACUUUUACUUUGCAAUACAUGUAUUCAAGUAAGUCAAGUAUAAAGUUGUUGGAAUAAAACCCUCAAACUUUUUUCAAAGCAUGCUAUCUUACGCUAUAAAUUUUCGACAUGUGAACAUUUUAAAGGCUUCAAGGAAUAUGUAGAUCCCAGUUCCUAUGGCCGAUCCAUUACCUGAAAUUCAGAAAGAAUCGUUACUUGACAAUAAUGUGCCCUUUCCCAAAACUUGGUAAAAUCGGAACAAUAUUACCCCAAGCCCCUAUUUACUUAGUAUGAAGGUUUUCGAACUUACGGUUGACGUGAUACCGUCUAUAUCGAUAACUAUACAAAUAGUCUUAAUGAAAUUAAGAUAGUUUUUUUCCUCAUAGUAACGACCCCUUGUGGCAAAAGUAACUAAAAGCGGGACAAUACAUCUCUUCAUCAUCUUUAUACCGUAUACUUUCUGAAUAAAUUUGACUCGGAUCGGCUCUUUACAUGCAUGAGUCCUUUGAAGCCAUUAAUAGUCACUCGCAAUAAGAAUUGGUGUAGAAUAAGGCUAUGGAAAAUUAAACUAAGCUUUGGCAUGCUUUUAUUAACUCGAAAAGAGCAUACUUCGAAGGCGAUAGUAGAGAUUUAUAUUAAAAUACGUGGUUUUUUAUUUUGUCAAUACGAUCUUAUUGGCCGAUUGCUUUUUAUUUUAUUUUAUUUUUUUUAAUUUUAUAAUAUUUAAACCAAUUACCCCAGCUUCCAUAAUGACUUUCAUUAUUCUAGCCUAUGCAUUUUUGCCGCAUAUAUCAGUUAUGCAAUAUGGCGCAAAUUGGAGAUUCCAAGCGAAGCCAGGUCUUUCUCUACCUGGUCUUUCCAAGGGAGUGGAGAUCUUCCUCUUUCUCUGCUUCUCCCGGUGGGUACUGUGUCGCAUACUUUCAGAGCUAGAGUGUUUUCGUUCAUUGACGUCGUGAACUAUGUAUGUCAGUGUCGUCGUAUAUUUCAUACAGCUCAUAGUUUCCUCAAUGCGAUGUUUGCCGUGGCCAAUGCGCAAAGUACCAUAAAUCUUCCGCAGAACCUUUCUCUUGAAAACUCCUAAAGUCGAAAUGAAAAUUAACACGGCGAUGUCCUACGAAAAGUAACAGAUUCCCUGUUUCGCUUACCAUAGGGGCGAAAAAUUCUUCGAUGCCACUGUUAACGAUGAAUUCUUCGAUGCCAAAGUCAACGAAUAAUUCUUCUAUGCCAAGGUCAAUAAUAGAAUAGAAAAAUUUGCAUAUUAAUUUUGCUUUAUUUAUGAAAGUGCAUGUAUAUAUUUCGUUAUGAAAAUAAGUAUUUAUAUAUAAAAAAGAGUGGUUUUCUGUUAAGUUUUGAUAUUUAAAGAAACGGCCUUUGGCGAGUCUGAAGCUUUUUUGAAAUUGGUGAACAUACUCCGAUUCGGUACUACUUUUACACAUUCUACAAAAAAUUUGAAACUGUACGUAAUUAUAAAUUUCCAUCACUGAUGAAAACACGAAAAAUUACCAAAUAGUAACGCAUUAAAGUGCUUCACUUUCUUCAUUUUUUCUUAUACUCUCGCAACAAAGUUGCUAAGAAGAGUAUUAUAGUUUUGUUCACAUAACGGUUGUUUGUAAGUCCUAAAACUAAAAGAGUCAGAUAUAGGGUUAUAUAUACCAAAGUGAUCAGGGUGACGAGUAGAGUUGAAAUCCGGAUGUCUGUCUGUCCGUCCGUCCGUCCAUGCAAGCUGUAACUUGAGUAAAAAUUGAAAUAUCAUGAUGAAACUUGGUACACGUAUUUCCUGGCUCCAUAAGAAGGUUAAGUUCGAAGAUGAAAUCGGCCCACUGCCACGCCCAAAAAAUGGCGAAAACCGAAAACCUAUAAAGUGUCAUAACUAAGACAUAAAUAAAGAUAUUAAAGUGAAAUUUGGCACAAAGGAUCGCAUUAGGGAGGGGCACCGCCCCCUACUAAGUUUUUUGUACAUAUUUCAGAAACUACUAUAGCUAUGUCAACCAAACUCUAUAGAGUCGUUUCCUUCAGGCAUUUCCAAAUACAGUUCAAAAAUGGAAGAAAUCGGAUAAUAACCACGCCCACAUCCCGUACAAAGGUUAUGUUGAAAAUCACUAAAAGUGCGUUAACCGACUAACAAAAAACGUCAGAAACACUAAAUUUUACGGAAGAAAUGGCAGAAGGAAGCUGCACCCAGGCUUUUUUUUUAAAUUGAAAAUGGGCUUGGCGUCGCCCACUUAUGGACCAAAAACCAUAUCUCAGGAACUACUAAUCUAAUUAAUUUUACAGCAAAAUAAAAAAAUAUGUAAAUGACGGAUAAUGAAAUCUCGAUUAUCACUUUAUCAUGCGAGAGUAUAAAAUGUUCAGUGACAUCCGAACUUAGCCCUUCCUUACUUGUUUAAUUAGUCUUCUCAUAUGCCUUUUCGAAAAUAUUCUUUUAUUUCUUUAUUCAAAGUUAAAACACAAAAUUAAAUAAAAUUUUUAAUUAAAACAGCAGCUCACCUAAACACAACCAAAUUUUCUUCAAAUGCUUUACGAUUUGACAAAAUGAUGGAAAUAUUUACUUAUAAAUUUUAUUUCAUCAACUUGUAUUAGUUUUUUACAUAUUGUAUUGCAACGUUUUUCAUGUUCUUUCUUGAUUGUAAAUAUGAACAGUGUAGAAUUUAGCUACAUAGCUUACUUUUAUGCAUUACUAAGUAUCGAAGAAUUCUACAUAGCAUUUCCUUCAAAGCAUUCUUCAAAGAAAAAUGUACUCGUAAGAGGUGAACCAUUAUCCCGCUGGGAAAUUACUACGACCGUAAAGGAACUCAUUCAGUAAUUAUGCAGAUUUUUAAAGAAUUAUAUUAUAUAUUCAGCUGAAUGCAUAUAAAUAUAAAUUGUUAUGUCUGACCAUAUAUACUCGUAAUAGUAAUUUUAGACGUAUUUAUCGCCGUCUUUAAACGCGCUUUCUGGAAAUUGUGGUUUUGAAGUCGGUUUUCAAGAUUUCUCGAGAACUACUUAACCGAUCUUCAUGAAAUUACACAGGUCUUUGAGGUACAAUUUCUGAAGACUUGGGCGAAGGUUUUAUUUCGAUUAAACUAUUUGAAAAAAUGUCGCGAAAUUUUAAUUUUUUGUAAAAAUGUCUGCUAAAAAUACAUUUUUCAGUUUUUUUCUUCGUUAAGGUUUUAACUAAAACACAUAUUUUUUCCCUUAAGAUAAUACUGUAAGGAGUUUCUAUAUAUUUUUUGUAUAAAAAAAGGCUGUUUUCCCCCAGGAAACCCAUGUAACCCCUUAAAUGGUGUUAUAAACUCAAAUAAGUAUGUAUAUUUAACUUCUUACCGCUGGUGGAGGAAAAAUAAAGACUUAUCUUGAGUGAGAAUUUAUUCAUUCUGAUUUUAUUUUGAUAUUCUAUUUUCAUUGCUUAUAUAGUAUUUUAGGAACUAUCUUAAAUAACUAAACAUAAGUGUACUUUUGUAUGCAUUGCUCACCAAAUAGGGUUGUUUUUAAUUAUACAAUUUAAUACAUGUGUGUGUGUGUGUUUAAUGUUACCUUAUCUGUAAAUUUAUGACUUGUGUCUCCAUUCAUUUUUAUUAUUAUUGAAUGCGCAUUGCAUGUAAAUGCAUGUUUCUGUUUAUGUACAUAAGUAUGUAUGAAUGUUCAAUAUAUUUGAUAAUAAAUAUUUACAUACUUUUAAUAGUAUUUCGGCUUUGCUGAUACUAAAUAAGUAAGCAUGUUAAUGAUAUUUGAACAAAUAGUUCUCUAUAAGAAUAGUGAACAUCUCACUAGUGCAGUUAGAAAAAUCUGGUCGAUUCUUCCUCUUACCUAUAUACUCUAUAUAAUGAUUACCGUUUUUCCACUUCACUCAUUUGAAGAUGUAUUUAAUUUUAGCGGACGCGAACUAAAAUUUAGCAACAAAUAUAAGUUUAAUUCUUUCGCAACAUGGGUUAAUACAAAAUUUUGCCAACAGCUGAAGGAAUUUUCCGGGCUUUAUUUCUUGCAAGUUGCUAGAAUGUAGAUGCAAACCACUCCGCCAAAAUUUCCGUUGUAGAUAGUAAGUCAAUUAAAGACAAUGUGUUCACCGGACAGAUAACGUAUACCGCUGAAGAUUUAAACCUUUUAAUUCUGGGUAUGCACAGCUCAAGAAACGAAG
This is an RNA transcript of Bactrocera dorsalis (oriental fruit fly), 28595 nucleotides long. It is a transcript of the gene named molybdopterin synthase catalytic subunit, with no coding region annotated. The record is from RefSeq and is a predicted model, not a curated record. Lineage: Eukaryota; Metazoa; Arthropoda; Insecta; Diptera; Tephritidae. The transcript is spliced from 2 exons.